CGCACCUUGCGCUCCUUGGUAUUCCGAGGAGCAUGCCUGUUCGAGUGUCAUGAAACUCUCAACUGCUUUGAUUAGCAGCUUGGAUAUGGGGCACGUUGGCAAUGCUUGUCGACCGCUCUGAAAUGUAUUAGCCACGAAUGUUGACCUUCUAAGCGUAAUAAUUACAAUGCGCUCAUUAGAACGACGUUAAGUCGCGGCUCACAAAACCCCCCUAUUACAUUUCUAUUUGACCUCGAAUCAGGUAGGACUACCCGCUGAACUUAA
This 264-nucleotide unclassified non-coding RNA is filed under the name Erythrobasidiales sp. Its description in RNAcentral is "partial contains 5.8S ribosomal RNA, internal transcribed spacer 2, and large subunit ribosomal RNA". Lineage: Eukaryota; Fungi; Basidiomycota; Cystobasidiomycetes; Erythrobasidiales. The record is from RNAcentral.